CGUGGGUUAGUACCCGGGAGAACCGAUCAUUUAAUCCAUAUAUAUAAAAGGUUCCAGGCCAGAAUCACACUGCACAGUUUUAACCCAAAUACACAGCUAAGGACAUGCUGCUUCCCUAGGUGACUGACUGCAAAGAAAACGCCUGCCUGCAACAUACCUUCAGACCCAUUUCUUCGUUUCGGUACUUCCUGAAAUAGUCUGUUCAGGCUCUGGCCUGGAUUCUCUGUUGAAAAACAAGUGUGGUAAGAACAAAACAAUCAGGGGAAUGGUGGUGUUGACGAUAUGGGCUGUGUGACAUGAAAUCUGAGCCGCCUGUCACUAAAGAAAGGGCUCAGGGCUGCCUGUGCAACUCGGGAGUUUCUAGAAUCUUCUGAGAGGCCCUUCCCUGGCUGACCGGCCCGCAGAGGCCGUGGCUCUGCUGCAAAAGGAGAUGGGGGAAAUCUAAGUAGCGACCUACGGCAUUGAGGCCAGGGAGGUCCAUGGGAGGGAGGACUGCCUUGAAGGAGGAUCACCCGCCAGCCCCCAGAACAAAGCUCGCAUUAAUCAUCCAAAGACAUUCAAUUUCGGUUAACAUCCUCAUAAAACACUGCAUUUUCUUGGUGCAAAUUGAUGCUGUUCAAAACAUCUCCCUGCUCUGUUUGAGUCUAAAUUUCAGGGUGUUUCAAACAUGUCUGAUGAAAUGACCUCUCAAUAGCUCUGUUGAUGUGGCACAUUGAUCCCCUGGUCUUAAACAGAAAAGGAACUUUCUUUUUUGUUUUUUUAUUUGAGGCAGGUUCUCACUCUGUUGCCCAGACUGGAGUGCAGUGGCUCAAUCAUGGCUCACUGCAGCCUCCACCUCCUGGGCUCAAGCCAUCCUCCUGCCUUAGCCUCUCAAGUAGCUGGGACCACAGGUACACGCCACCACGCCCAGCUAACCUUUUGAUUUUUUUGUAGAUCAAAAGAUUACAAAAUAUAUGUUGCCCAGGCUGGUCUUGAACUCCUGGACUCAAGCGAUCCAUCCACCUCAGCCUCCCAAACUGCUGGAAUUAUAGGCGUGAGCUACUGUGCCCGGCUGGGAUUUUUUGAAAUUAUGAAUGUGACUGACAUUUUAUCUUUUUACGGAGGGUGGGGUAGAAAGGGUGCUUAAAUAAAACUUUUGUGUAUUUUACUCAAGCCAGGCCUGUUUUACUCAUAAUGCUAAACAAAUCACUAAUGGACCGUGAACAAUGUAGGGAAGGUGGCCAUGGGACACGCCCUCUUCUGCGGGGUGGGAAGAGGGGAGGUGUCAUCUGUGAUGUGUUCUCCCUACAGAACCAGCUUUGCAUGAGGAUCGAGCCCAGUCAACGUUGCUGCUAUGGGGCUGGAGGGGACUUAAGGGCUCCUCCCAAAAGUGAGACCAGCACCCAAGGCCAAUUGGACCCGCGGCCACUAAGCAUACGGAGACGCUAUACAUCAUGUAAUGCAAUUCCCUCUGAUACGAUCUCUAGUAUUGAAAUACUAUAGGGUUUCCUAAGUAUGGAGUGCUGAGUGCGUUUCAAAGGCCAGAUCUCCCAAAUCUAACAGCCUUAACUCAUGCCGGGCCACCCUUGAGCUCUGGACGUGGCAGAAGCAAAGAGAACUUUACCUGAUGUGAUGCACAAAUGUUUCAUCACGCACACAGACACACGCACGCAUGCACACACACAUGUGCAACUCUGUGACGGGCUCGCACGCUGGCGCCACCCAACGCCAGUCUCUCACCUCUUUGUCUGCCUUGGAUGCUACGGAGGGCCAGG
RNAcentral lists this long non-coding RNA (1754 nucleotides) under Homo sapiens (human). Its description in RNAcentral is "HSALNT0126610". Lineage: Eukaryota; Metazoa; Chordata; Mammalia; Primates; Hominidae. The record is from RNAcentral.